RNAcentral lists this ribosomal RNA (497 nucleotides) under uncultured bacterium. Its description in RNAcentral is "partial 16S ribosomal RNA". It matches the Rfam family "Bacterial small subunit ribosomal RNA", at positions 28 to 507 of the family's 1533-position model. The record is from RNAcentral.
GAUGAACGCUGGCGGCGUGCCUAAUGCAUGCAAGUCGAGCGAACGGACGAGAAGCUUGCUUCUCUGAUGUUAGCGGCGGACGGGUGAGUAACACGUGGAUAACCUACCUAUAAGACUGGGAUAACUUCGGGAAACCGGAGCUAAUACCGGAUGAUAUUUUGAACCGCAUGGUUCAAAAGUGAAAGACGGUCUUGCUGUCACUUAUAGAUGGAUCCGCGCUGCAUUAGCUAGUUGGUAAGGUAACGGCUUACCAAGGCAACGAUGCAUAGCCGACCUGAGAGGGUGAUCGGACACACUGGAACUGAGACACGGUCCAGACUCCUACGGGAGGCAGCAGUAGGGAAUCUUCCGCAAUGGGCGAAAGCCUGACGGAGCAACGCCGCGUGAGUGAUGAAGGUCUUAGGAUCGUAAAACUCUGUUAUUAGGGAAGAACAUAUGUGUAAGUAACUGUGAACAUCUUGACGGUACCUAAUCAGAAAGCCACGGCUAACUACGUG